GAUGAACGCUGGCGGCGUGCCUAAUACAUGCAAGUCGAGCGAACGGACGAGAAGCUUGCUUCUCUGAUGUUAGCGGCGGACGGGUGAGUAACACGUGGAUAACCUACCUAUAAGACUGGGAUAACUUCGGGAAACCGUAGCUAAUACCGGAUAAUAUUUUGAACCGCAUGGUUCAAAAGUGAAAGACGGUCUUGCUGUCACUUAUAGAUGGAUCCGCGCUGCAUUAGCUAGUUGGUAAGGUAACGGCUUACCAAGGCAACGAUGCAUAGCCGACCUGAGAGGGUGAUCGGCCACACUGGAACUGAGACACGGUCCAGACUCCUACGGGAGGCAGCAGUAGGGAAUCUUCCGCAAUGGGCGAAAGCCUGACGGAGCAACGCCGCGUGAGUGAUGAAGGUCUUCGGAUCGUAAAACUCUGUUAUUAGGGAAGAACAUAUGUGUAAGUAACUGUGCACAUCUUGACGGUACCUAAUCAGAAAGCCACGGCUAACUACGUGCCAGCAGCCGCGGUAAUACGUAGGUGGCAAGCGUUAUCCGGAAUUAUUGGGCGUAAAGCCGCGCGUAGGCGGUUUUUUAAGUCUGAUGUGAAAGCCCACGGCUCAACCCGGGGAGGGUCAUUGGAAACUGGAAAACUUGAGUGCAGAAGAGGAAAGUGGAAUUCCAUGUGUAGCGGUGAAAUGCGCAGAGAUAUGGAGGAACACCAGUGGCGAAGGCGACUUUCUGGUCUGUAACUGACGCUGAUGUGCGAAAGCGUGGGGAUCAAACAGGAUUAGAUACCCUGGUAGUCCACGCCGUAAACGAUGAGUGCUAAGUGUUAGGGGGUUUCCGCCCCUUAGUGCUGCAGCUAACGCAUUAAGCACUCCGCCUGGGGAGUACGACCGCAAGGUUGAAACUCAAAGGAAUUGACGGGGACCCGCACAAGCGGUGGAGCAUGUGGUUUAAUUCGAAGCAACGCGAAGAACCUUACCAAAUCUUGACAUCCUUUGACAACUCUAGAGAUAGAGCCUUCCCCUUCGGGGGACAAAGUGACAGGUGGUGCAUGGUUGUCGUCAGCUCGUGUCGUGAGAUGUUGGGUUAAGUCCCGCAACGAGCGCAACCCUUAAGCUUAGUUGCCAUCAUUAAGUUGGGCACUCUAAGUUGACUGCCGGUGACAAACCGGAGGAAGGUGGGGAUGACGUCAAAUCAUCAUGCCCCUUAUGAUUUGGGCUACACACGUGCUACAAUGGACAAUACAAAGGGCAGCGAAACCGCGAGGUCAAGCAAAUCCCAUAAAGUUGUUCUCAGUUCGGAUUGUAGUCUGCAACUCGACUACAUGAAGCUGGAAUCGCUAGUAAUCGUAGAUCAGCAUGCUACGGUGAAUACGUUCCCGGGUCU
This 1374-nucleotide ribosomal RNA is filed under the name uncultured bacterium. Its description in RNAcentral is "bacterial SSU rRNA". It matches the Rfam family "Bacterial small subunit ribosomal RNA", at positions 28 to 1381 of the family's 1533-position model. The record is from RNAcentral.